Molecule: ribosomal RNA, 468 nt
Filed under: uncultured bacterium
Lineage: Bacteria
Description: partial 16S ribosomal RNA
Rfam family: Bacterial small subunit ribosomal RNA
Source: RNAcentral
GACGAACGCUGGCGGCGUGCUUAACACAUGCAAGUCGAACGGAAAGGCCCUGCUUUUGUGGGGUGCUCGAGUGGCGAACGGGUGAGUAACACGUGAGUAACCUGCCCUUGACUUUGGGAUAACUUCAGGAAACUGGGGCUAAUACCGGAUAGGAGCUCCUGCGGCAUGGUGGGGGUUGGAAAGUUUCGGCGGUUGGGGAUGGACUGGCGGCUUAUCAGCUUGUUGGUGGGGUAGUGGCUUACCAAGGCUUUGACGGGUAGCCGGCCUGAGAGGGUGACCGGCCACAUUGGGACUGAGAUGCGGCCCAGACUCCUACGGGAGGCAGCAGUGGGGAAUAUUGCACAAUGGGCGGAAGCCUGAUGCAGCAGCGCCGCGUGCGGGAUGACGGCCUUCGGGUUGUAAACCGCUUUCGCCUGUGACGAAGCGUGAGUGACGGUAAUGGGUAAAGAAGCACCGGCUAACUACGUG